Molecule: long non-coding RNA, 996 nt
Organism: Cicer arietinum (chickpea)
Lineage: Eukaryota; Viridiplantae; Streptophyta; Magnoliopsida; Fabales; Fabaceae
Source: RefSeq, a predicted model, not a curated record
CUUUCAAAUUCUCUCAGCUUUAUUAUUGUCUUUAAUUGACAAUAUGGCUGAGGAGUUGAUAUUGUUGGAUAACAUUUGCCGAAAAAGAUAAAUUAUGAGUACAACGAAUAAGAUCUUAUGAACAAGAUCCAAAUGCUUUUGCAAAUGAAUCCCAUUCACAAGAAGAUCUCUCGUCUUAUCCAUAAGUGAAAAUCCAUUUGAGUCAAUUAUUUUAUUGUUGAGUAUAUUGAUGAGGUUUGGAAGGAAAUUUUCCAUUGUUACCCUCAGGUCGUUCCUUAUUUGGGCUAUUCUUUUUUGGUACCUUUGAUUCCAAAUUUUCAUUUUUCUAGUAUCGCUUUUACUUUUGAGUGAAUCAAUGAAUUAAACAUGCCAUGGUGGUGUAAUAGAGUCUAUAUGCACUAUUGUAUGUUAACUACGAGACUUGACACCACAUCUCAACUCAAAACCUUAAGGUAGUAAGUAUAUAAGUCACCUUUCUUAUAUAUUCAAUAUUUCAUCCAUUCCUAAUUGAGGUAAGACUAACCACUCACGCUUGUAUUCCAACCUAACCACUUCGUUUUCUCUCUUAGCUGCACUGUUGAAGCUUUUCCAUGGUGGAAUCUUCAAAUGGGAUUGUUCCCCAACCUACACCGCAAUAGGCAGUUGCUACGCUCUUUGGAAUUGCUGACAAUUCUUCAAAAUAUGAGGCUAUAACUUGGGUUGUAUUUAUCCGAUUUUAGUGAUCUUGAUGGAGUUGGAAAGAUGAGAAGAAGAGUUGCAACUCUUAAUUUGAUGCAAAAGCCCAAUUUGGAGGUCUUGAUUAGGGGUGUACGUGGGUAGGGUUGGUCCGGUUUUGACAAAAUCGGAUACCCGACUAGAUCGAUUAUCUUUGAGUUGAGUUUAGUUCUAAACCCGUAUUUUUUUAUUUAACUUGAAAUGAACCGACCCGAUCAAGAACGAGUUGAGUUGGGUUGGCGGGCUAUACAUAAAUAAUAAUCUGUUUUUUAUUUUAUUUUA